Molecule: microRNA precursor, 54 nt
Filed under: Euprymna scolopes
Lineage: Eukaryota; Metazoa; Mollusca; Cephalopoda; Sepiida; Sepiolidae
Description: Esc-Novel-65_pre stem-loop
Source: RNAcentral
UGUUGGACGGCGGUCGGGCGGGAGGCGUUAGCUCGCUCGCCACGGUCCAUCGCU